CAACCAGACCAAGUCAAAAUUCCUCGCCAACAUGAGCCACGAACUGCGCACCCCGCUGAACGCCAUUAUCGGGUUUUCGGAAGUGAUGGGCAGCGGCAUGUUCGGCGCGCUCGGCUCCGAGAAGUAUCAAGAGUACUGCAACGACAUCAUGACCAGCGGAAACUACCUGCUGGACGUCAUCAACGAUAUUCUCGACAUGUCGAAGAUCGA
Molecule: unclassified non-coding RNA, 210 nt
Filed under: Hevea brasiliensis (rubber tree)
Lineage: Eukaryota; Viridiplantae; Streptophyta; Magnoliopsida; Malpighiales; Euphorbiaceae
Source: RNAcentral